GAGGCUCCCUUGCUUCUCAGUAAGCCUCCAUCCUCGGAGAUUCCCACCCCCUCCUUCAUCAGACUCUCUCUCCCUCUGUCUGUCUCUCCCUCUCUCUGUCUCACCCCUCUCUGUUUCUCUUUGUCUCUCUGUCUCUGUCUCUGUCCCUCCCUCCCUCCCUCCCUCUCUCUCUCUCUCUCUCUCUCUCUCUCUCUCUCUCUCUCUCUCUCUCUCUGUCCCUCUCUCUGUGUGUCUGUCCCUCUCUGUCUCUGUCUCUCUCACCCUCUCUGUUUCUCUUUCUGUCUCUCUGUCUCUCUCUCUGUCUCACCCUCUCUGUCUCUCUCUCUCUGUCCCUCUGUCUCUCCCUUUAUUUCUCUCUCUCUGCCUCUGUCUCACCCCUCUCUGUUUCUCUUUCUGUCUCUCUGUCUCACCCUCUCUCUGUCUCUCUUUCUGUCUCUCUGUCUCACCCUCUCUCUGUCUCUCUUUCUGUCUCUGUCCCUCUCUCUCUGUCUCUGUCCCUCUCUGUCUCUGUCCCUCUCUCUCUGUCUCUCUGUCUGUCCCUCUCUCUGUCUCUGUCUCCCAUCUCUCCAUCUCCCUCUCUCCCUCUCUCUCUCCCUCUGUCUGUCUCUCCCUCUGUCUCACCCCUCUCUGUUUCUCUUUGUCUAUCUUUCUCUGUCCCUCUCUCUCUCUGUCUCACCCUCUCUGUCUCUCUCUCUCUCUCUAUCUCUGUCUGUCUGUCCCUCUCUCUGUCUCUGUCUCACCCUCUCUGUUUCUCUUUCUGUCUCUCUGUGUGUCUCUCUCUGUCCCUCUCUCUCUCUCUCUCUGAGCCUCUCUGUCUCUGUCUGUCUCUCUGUGUGUCUGUCUGUCCCUCUCUGUGUCUCUCUGUCUCUGAUCUCUCCGUCUCCCUCUCUCCCUCUGUCUCCCCCUUUCUCUCUCUGUCUCUUCUCCCAUCACAUUGUUCUUCUCCCUCUCCUCCCAGCCCAGCUCGGCGUUCCUGGCUCCUUUGACAGCUUUUCAAAAGCGGGGAUGACUUCCCGCCCCCCUCCCCCCAGGUGGCUCGGGGAUGGUGCAGUUCAGGAUUUGGAGAAGAAUCAGUCAAUUCCUCCUUCCAUCCCGCUUCCCCUCCCUGACCCCAGCAGCGCACACCCAACAAUCCCCAAGAUUGUUUGCCCCGACAGCCCAGGCUGGUCCUGGGUGGUGAGAUCCCCGCGGAUUCCGCUUAGCGUGUGCUAG
Molecule: long non-coding RNA, 1212 nt
Filed under: Monodelphis domestica (gray short-tailed opossum)
Lineage: Eukaryota; Metazoa; Chordata; Mammalia; Didelphimorphia; Didelphidae
Description: lncRNA (ENSMODG00000038493.1)
Source: RNAcentral